Molecule: ribosomal RNA, 519 nt
Filed under: Papilio syfanius ssp. CBGPFLC_00143
Lineage: Eukaryota; Metazoa; Arthropoda; Insecta; Lepidoptera; Papilionidae
Description: partial 16S ribosomal RNA
Source: RNAcentral
AACAUGUUUUUUUGAAAAUAAUUUAAAGUUUAAUUUGCCCACUGAUNAAAUUAUUAAAGGGCUGCAGUAUUUUGACUGUACAAAGGUAGCAUAAUCAUUAGUCUCUUAAUUGGUGACUUGUAUGAAAGAUUGGAUGAAAUAUAUACUGUCUCUAUUUAAUUUAUAAAAUUUAAUUUUUUAGUAAAAAAGCUAAAAUGAAUUUAAAAGACGAGAAGACCCUAUAGAGUUUAAUAAUUUAUUUAAUUAUUAUUAAUGUAUAAAUUUUAAAAUUAAAAUUGAAUAAAUUAUUUUGUUGGGGUGAUAGAAAAAUUAAAUUAACUUUUUUUUUAUUUUAUACAUUAAUUUAUGAAUAAAUGAUCCAUUAAUAAUGAUUAAAAGAAAAAAUUACCUUAGGGAUAACAGCGUAAUUUUUUUUUUUAGUUCAAAUAGGAAAAAAAGUUUGCGACCUCGAUGUUGGAUUAAGAUAAAAAUUAAAUGCAAAAGUUUAAAAUUUUAAUCUGUUCGAUCAUUAAAAUCUUA